Non-coding RNA from Paramuricea clavata, 223 nucleotides. The record is from the annotation of a GenBank genome assembly. NCBI's taxonomy places the organism in Eukaryota, Metazoa, Cnidaria, Anthozoa, Malacalcyonacea, Plexauridae.
UUAAGACCCAACGUUUCGACACUCCAUUCUAGUGUCUUCAUCAGGGGUGAUCUAAAGAUGCAAUCGUGGCUUCUUAAAUACCCAAGGGAUGACGUCCCCUGCCAAUGAGAUUCAUGUAUUCCUCUCGUGCAUGUAUCUUAUUGGCAGGUGACAUCAUGAAGACACUAGACUGAAGUGUCGAAACGUUGGGUCUUGAUUUACAAUUCAACUGGGCUUUGUAAUC